GUGACCUCAAAUCAGGUAGGACUACCCGCUGAACUUAAGCAUAUCAAUAAGCGGAGGAAAAGAAACUAACAAGGAUUCCCCUAGUAACUGCGAGUGAAGCGGGAAAAGCUCAAAUUUAAAAUCUGUCAGUCUUUUGGCUGUCCGAGUUGUAAUCUAGAGAAGUGUUAUCCGCGCUGGACCGUGUACAAGUCUCCUGGAAUGGAGCGUCGUAGAGGGUGAGAAUCCCGUCUUUGACACGGACUGCCAGGGCUUUGUGAUGCGCUCUCAAAGAGUCGAGUUGUUUGGGAAUGCAGCUCAAAAUGGGUGGUAAAUUCCAUCUAAAGCUAAAUAUUGGCGAGAGACCGAUAGCGAACAAGUACCGUGAGGGAAAGAUGAAAAGAACUUUGGAAAGAGAGUUAAACAGUACGUGAAAUUGCUGAAAGGGAAACGCUUGAAGUCAGUCGCGUUGACCGGGGAUCAACCCUUGCUUUUGCUGGGUGUACUUUCUGGUUGAUGGGUCAGCAUCAAUUUUGACCCUUGGAAAAAGAUUAGGGGAAUGUGGCAUCUUUGGAUGUGUUAUAGCCUCUGGUUGCAUACAAUGGUUGAGAUUGAGGAACUCAGCACGCCGCAAGGCCGGGUUUAACCAUCGUACGUGCU
This 636-nucleotide ribosomal RNA is filed under the name Cortinarius violaceus. Its description in RNAcentral is "eukaryotic LSU rRNA". It matches the Rfam family "Eukaryotic large subunit ribosomal RNA", at positions 1 to 627 of the family's 3401-position model. The record is from RNAcentral. Lineage: Eukaryota; Fungi; Basidiomycota; Agaricomycetes; Agaricales; Cortinariaceae.